AUCUUAUGGGACUUCAAUGUGUGGUUUAUAUGGCCUCAGGCUCUCCCACCUCAAUAGUUAGCUUUUGGGUUGUGGUUCUCCUAAGGUCCAUAUCAAUGUGGUUCCAUGUUGAUCUGAAAGAUAACUGUCCUGCAGAGGAUAUGACUUAUAUGCAUGGAAAGAUAGGAGAGGGAAUUUUUCAGUUAAUGGUAUGUGGAGGAUGGCAAUCUCUCUCUCUCUCUCUCUCUGGUUUUCUAAAUCGAUAAUCACAGAUUCUAGAUAAAAUUGCUGGUUCUCACUUUCUUAUCAAAUUGACUUUAGAAGGUGUUACUCUAGCAAUUUACUGUUUGGAUCUGAUAUUGCCUUCAUAGAUCCCUACAAUUUAAAAUGACAGUCAAUGUUCCAACAUUUUUCAUACAAUGCGCAAUAUAUGCAGUUAUUUAAUAAUGUCUUAGAAAAACAGUUCGUUGUGUAGAAAGCAAUAUAUCCUGUAUUGGAAUCUGUAUAAUCCUGAAGAUCGUUUGGGUAGCAAGCCCUAUAAUCAGAAUGUAUAUUCUUGUAAAAGAAUUUGCAUAAUCAUGUCAAGUCCAAACCAAGUUCCAUGUAUUAGUAACUUUUCAGACAAACUGAGUUUUAUGCUCGUGUUUUUUCCCCAUGUUCUAGAGCGAGCCAUUCUCUUGGAA
Syzygium oleosum is the source of this 662-nucleotide long non-coding RNA. RefSeq lists it as uncharacterized. NCBI's taxonomy places the organism in Eukaryota, Viridiplantae, Streptophyta, Magnoliopsida, Myrtales, Myrtaceae. The transcript is spliced from 2 exons. The record is from RefSeq and is a predicted model, not a curated record.